GACGAACGCUGGCGGCGUGCUUAACACAUGCAAGUCGAACGGAAAGGCCCUGCUUUUGUGGGGUGCUCGAGUGGCGAACGGGUGAGUAACACGUGAGUAACCUGCCCUUGACUUUGGGAUAACUUCAGGAAACUGGGGCUAAUACCGGAUAGGAGCUCCUGCUGCAUGGUGGGGGUUGGAAAGUUUCGGCGGUUGGGGAUGGACUCGCGGCUUAUCAGCUUGUUGGUGGGGUAGUGACUUACCAAGGCUUUGACGGGUAGCCGGCCUGAGAGAGUGACCGGCCACAUUGGGACUGAGAUACGGCCCAGACUCCUACGGGAGGCAGCAGUGAGAAAUAUUGCACAAUGGGCGGAAGCGGGAUGCAGCAACGCCGCGUGCGGGAUGACGGCCUUCGGGUUGUAAACCGCUUUCGCCUGUGACGAAGCGUGAGUGACGGUAAUGGGUAAAGAAGCACCGGCUAACUACGUG
This 468-nucleotide ribosomal RNA is filed under the name uncultured bacterium. RNAcentral describes it as "partial 16S ribosomal RNA". It matches the Rfam family "Bacterial small subunit ribosomal RNA", at positions 28 to 507 of the family's 1533-position model. The record is from RNAcentral.